CACGUAGGGUGCAAGCGUUGUCCGGAAUUAUUGGGCGUAAAGAGCGCGUAGGCGGUCCGAUAAGUCGGCUGUGAAAGUCAGGGGCUCAACCCUUGAAAGCCGGCCGAUACUGUCGGACUAGAGUCCGGAAGAGGCAAGUGGAAUUCCCGGUGUAGCGGUGAAAUGCGCAGAUAUCGGGAGGAACACCAAUGGCGAAGGCAGCUUGCUGGGACGGUACUGACGCUGAGGCGCGAAAGCGUGGGGAGCAAACGGG
RNAcentral lists this ribosomal RNA (253 nucleotides) under uncultured bacterium. RNAcentral's name for it is "partial 16S ribosomal RNA". It matches the Rfam family "Bacterial small subunit ribosomal RNA", at positions 524 to 776 of the family's 1533-position model. The record is from RNAcentral.